UACAUACCAUUUUAAAUCCUGAGCCUAAUA
RNAcentral lists this non-coding RNA (30 nucleotides) under Rattus norvegicus (Norway rat). The record is from RNAcentral. Lineage: Eukaryota; Metazoa; Chordata; Mammalia; Rodentia; Muridae.